This 329-nucleotide ribosomal RNA is filed under the name uncultured eukaryote. RNAcentral's name for it is "partial 18S ribosomal RNA". It matches the Rfam family "Eukaryotic small subunit ribosomal RNA", at positions 1470 to 1796 of the family's 1831-position model. The record is from RNAcentral.
CCCUUAGAUGUUCUGGGCCGCACGCGCGCUACACUGAUGCAUUCAACGAGCCUAUCCUUGACCGACAGGUCCGGGUAAUCUUUGAAUCUGCAUCGUGACGGGGAUAGAUUAUUGCAAUUAUUAAUCUUCAACGAGGAAUGCCUAGUAGGCGCAAGUCAUCAGCUUGCGUCGAUUACGUCCCUGCCCUUUGUACACACCGCCCGUCGCUACUACCGAUUGAAUGGUUUAGUGAGAUCUCUGGAUUGACGCUGGCUAGGGGGCGACCCUUGGCCAGACUACUCGAGAAACUGCUCAAACUUGAUCAUUUAGAGGAAGUAAAAGUCGUAACA